UGGGGAAUAUUGCACAAUGGGCGCAAGCCUGAUGCAGCCAUGCCGCGUGUAUGAAGAAGGCCUUCGGGUUGUAAAGUACUUUCAGUCGGGAGGAAGGUGGUAAGGUUAAUAACCUUAUCAAUUGACGUUACCGACAGAAGAAGCACCGGCUAACUCCGUGCCAGCAGCCGCGGUAAUACGGAGGGUGCAAGCGUUAAUCGGAAUUACUGGGCGUAAAGCGCACGCAGGCGGUUGAUUGAGUCAGAUGUGAAAUCCCCGGGCUUAACCCGGGAAUUGCAUCUGAUACUGGUCAGCUAGAGUCUUGUAGAGGGGGGUAGAAUUCCAUGUGUAGCGGUGAAAUGCGUAGAGAUGUGGAGGAAUACCGGUGGCGAAGACGGCCCCCUGGACAAAGACUGACGCUCAGGUGCGAAAGCGUGGGGAGCAAACAGG
RNAcentral lists this ribosomal RNA (429 nucleotides) under Chloroflexota bacterium. Its description in RNAcentral is "Chloroflexi bacterium partial 16S ribosomal RNA". It matches the Rfam family "Bacterial small subunit ribosomal RNA", at positions 355 to 776 of the family's 1533-position model. Lineage: Bacteria; Bacillati; Chloroflexota. The record is from RNAcentral.